UUUUCCUUUCGAAACAAUAAAAGUGCGGUGGUGACUCUAGUUUUACUGACGUCAAGUUUAUCCAUAACUUGACGAUCAUGAAUUUACCGCUACAGAAACUAAGUGGCGACUCUGCUGGGGAGUAGUCCUCAGUGGGUUUAACCUACUUUUUAUGUGUAUACAUGUAUAUUUGAUGUUUGUUUGUAUAUAUUGUUACGUGAUAUUCUGUCUGUUGUGUUUGGUG
Molecule: long non-coding RNA, 223 nt
Filed under: Lathyrus oleraceus (garden pea)
Lineage: Eukaryota; Viridiplantae; Streptophyta; Magnoliopsida; Fabales; Fabaceae
Description: Pisum sativum (pea) long non-coding RNA (PSAT_LNC006098)
Source: RNAcentral